ACGUAGGGAGCAAGCGUUGUCCGGAAUCAUUGGGCGUAAAGCGCGCGUAGGUGGCCUCAUAAGUCCGCUGUGAAAGUCAAAGGCUCAACCUUUGAAAGCCGGUGGAUACUGUGAGGCUAGAGUACGGAAGAGGCGAGUGGAAUUCCUGGUGUAGCGGUGGAAUGCGCAGAUAUCAGGAGGAACACCAAUAGCGAAGGCAGCUCGCUGGGACGUUACUGACACUGAGGCGCGAAAGCGUGGGGAGCGAACAGGA
This 253-nucleotide ribosomal RNA is filed under the name uncultured prokaryote. RNAcentral describes it as "partial 16S ribosomal RNA". It matches the Rfam family "Bacterial small subunit ribosomal RNA", at positions 525 to 777 of the family's 1533-position model. The record is from RNAcentral.